GGGCCCGCACAAGCGGUGGAGCAUGUGGUUUAAUUCGAUGAUACGCGAGGAACCUUACCAGGGCUUAAAUGUAACGGGACAGAUCUAGAGAUAGAUCCUUCUUCGGACUCAUUACAAGGUGCUGCAUGGUUGUCGUCAGCUCGUGUCGUGAGAUGUUCGGUUAAGUCCGGCAACGAGCGCAACCCACAUCCCUAGUUGCCAGCAGUUCGGCUGGGCACUCUAUGGAAACUGCCCGUGAUAAGCGGGAGGAAGGUGUGGAUGACGUCAAGUCCUCAUGGCCCUUACGGGUUGGGCUACACACGUGCUACAAUGGUAGUGACAAUGGGU
RNAcentral lists this ribosomal RNA (327 nucleotides) under uncultured bacterium. RNAcentral describes it as "bacterial SSU rRNA". It matches the Rfam family "Bacterial small subunit ribosomal RNA", at positions 917 to 1247 of the family's 1533-position model. The record is from RNAcentral.